CUCUCUUCCACAGGAGGCCUACACGCCGCCGCUUGUGCUGCAGCCAUGUUUACUGUGUCUGAUUUCUUCCCCCGUACUUUUUCAACUAGUCUCUAGUGAUCCCUGAAAAGUUCCAGCAUAUUUUGCGAGUACUCAACACCAACAUCGAUGGGCGGCGGAAAAUAGCCUUUGCCAUCACUGCCAUUAAGGGUGUGGGCCGAAGAUAUGCUCAUGUGGUGUUGAGGAAAGCAGACAUUGACCUCACCAAGAGGGCGGGAGAACUCACUGAGGAUGAGGUGGAACGUGUGAUCACCAUUAUGCAGAAUCCACGCCAGUACAAGAUCCCAGACUGGUUCUUGAACAGACAGAAGGAUGUAAAGGAUGGAAAAUACAGCCAGGUCCUAGCCAAUGGUCUGGACAACAAGCUCCGUGAAGACCUGGAGCGACUGAAGAAGAUUCGGGCCCAUAGAGGGCUGCGUCACUUCUGGGGCCUUCGUGUCCGAGGCCAGCACACCAAGACCACUGGCCGCCGUGGCCGCACCGUGGGUGUGUCCAAGAAGAAAUAAGUCUGUAGGCCUUGUCUGUUAAUAAAUAGUUUAUAUACCUAUGG
Molecule: unclassified non-coding RNA, 589 nt
Filed under: Homo sapiens (human)
Lineage: Eukaryota; Metazoa; Chordata; Mammalia; Primates; Hominidae
Description: ribosomal protein S18 (ENSG00000223367.6, ENSG00000226225.6)
Source: RNAcentral